Molecule: RNA transcript, 3070 nt
Organism: Xiphias gladius (swordfish)
Lineage: Eukaryota; Metazoa; Chordata; Actinopteri; Istiophoriformes; Xiphiidae
Exons: 4
Source: RefSeq, a predicted model, not a curated record
GUGAACCCAUAACCCGCCACUGGUACCGGUAGACCACCCGGGUCCGGCUCAUCGGGUGCACCUGGGCUGGGACCCCGUCAGCAGUGGAGAAGUACUCACAUCUGUUACUGCAGUAAAAGUAGAAAUACUCUAUUACAACUAAAAGUCCUUCAUUCACAACUUUACUGACGUGAAAGUACAAAAGUGUCAGCAUCAAAAUAUAUUUGAAGUAUCAGAAGUAGAGGUGCUGGGUGGGUAGACAUACGAUACUGAUAAAUAUCAAUACUUAUUGAUGAUGUAUUGAAUCAUUAAUCGGCAUCUGCAGAUAAACGUAGAGCGGUGAAACGUAAAGUCUUUGCCUCAGAUGUGGAGUCUGCAGAAAAUGGAAAGCGGUGGAGCGGAUGUACUCGGCGGGAGGCUGCGCUCUUCCUCCGCCGUUCAACUGGGUCGUGAUGCGGUUCAGGGUCAGUGUCUGGUUCUGGCUCGAACAGCGUCCCAAGCCGGCGCCAGAGGAUGAAAAGACAGAACGUGAACUCCCAGCAAAUCCAACAGUAAUCUGAGCGGCUGUCCACACUCAGUGGAAUACAUCAAGGCCAGUGCAGCUGGUGAUGGGGACAGAGGCAAAUCCAGCCCCUCCACAUUAAGAGCCCCUCUUCAAAUGCUCCCCACCGGUACUUUUGAUGUCGUCAGCGUAAAAAGAAACGGUGCCAUUUCACGCUGGGACACGUCGAGAGUCUGCCUCUUCCCUGAGACAGAGUCAAGACCUCCCCGUCCCAAAUGUCACAGUGUGACUGCAGCCGGACCCAUGUAAACCAGCGUAUGAGGUGCUGGAGUCAGAUCCAGACUGGGUCCCGUCGCUACACCCGGGUCACACUGAAGGAAACGCCGGACGGGCCGAGCGUCUCCCGCUGUCUGUGCAGGCAGAGACGGACCGGAACCUAAGACGGACGACAGAGACGAGUCCGUCGGACGCGUUGAGAACAACCCGGAGAGAAUCAGAGGCAGCAGGAGGACUUCUCCAGAGAUGCUCUUGAGGCUUCUGUGGAGGCCACCAGCAGGUCCAGAGCCCAGUCACAGAGACCCCCUUCAGUCUCUGGGGAGUAUAAAGCUAAACUUGAACGCUCCACCUCUGAAGGACCCGAGUCAGACCAGCGAAGAGUCCUCCUCCUCCUCCCGUCUGAGCUGUGUCAGACUGCAGAGGAGGAUCAAGGAGCUGGAGGAGAAGUUGUUUCAUCUGGCAGGACAACAGGAGGACAUGCAGACCUGACCUGUCUUCACAGGGCUCCCAUCCAAUGCACCAGUCCACAGAGGGGAGGAAGGGACAGCAUGCAAGUGGACGGAGCCUCUCUCUCCUCAUGUGGAUCUCCACAAAGGGGAUUGGGACGUGGACUCGGCCGACGAGUCCUGCAGUUUCUCAGAACGACUCGUCCAAACGUAAGCCUCUCCGGCCCCUUCGCUUCCAGACGGCCCGGCUCAACCUGUUCUGGUUCCUGAGUUAUUCUCCGGCCCUCGACCAGAUGCGGUGCCACGUCUGUCGCCUCCACCCAGAAAACGGACGCCAGAACUUGGCUUCAAUCGAAGGCCCCAGGAGAAAACUAGACAGACUGGCAAGGCAGCUGAGCUAGAAGGCUCCCUGGAUGUGGAGCUCCUUUUCCCCUCAGAAACCCCUGAACUGUCCCUGUCUGACACUGUGUUGCAGCCGGUGGCACAGGGAACGUUUCACUGGUAGAGGGAGGAAUGGAUCCUGUUAGACACCAGCAGAUUCUGGGAGCAAACAUCACACCGUCGGUAAAAAAGCUGAAGAUGAAGAGAGGAGCUAAUGAUCCUAAACACACCUCAAAAUCCACAAUGGACUACCUCUAGAGGUGCACGCUGAAGGUCUGGCCCCGGCCCUCACAGUCCCCCGACCUAAACCUCACUGAAAAUCUGUGCAUGACCCUCAAAAGAGCAGGGCAGCCAAGACGGACCAAGAACCUCACGGAACCAGAAGCCGAAAAUCCCCCAAACAGGACCUGAAAGACUCUUAGCUGCUUUAAAGAAAAGUGUUUACAAGCUGCCAGAGGGGGCGCUACUGAGCGCUGAGCAUGCAGGGCGCCCCGACUCUUUCAUGCCGCUGUAUGAACCUUGUUCUGUUGUACAUUUCCAAAAUAAACUGUCUUUAGUUAGACACAUUUGACUGAGGCUUGUUGGGGCAUAAUAACGCCUGUGGAGUAUUUUAUAUUGAAUAAAUGUUCCCAUGGCUUCUGCGAUAUAUUCCCCUCCAUUCUCCCGCGGUUCUUGAUAAAAUGAAUGGUCCGAGUCUUUUCCCCAAACGAUCCUACGGCUGCAGAAUGUGUGUUUCCUUCCUCUAGGGUUUGCCCCGGAUAUCGACCGAACCGCUCCGCUGCCGUUGUGUCUCUGGAGUUUAGACCGGUCUUCCUUUUACCCCGGUCCAGGUGGUCACCCAGUGUCCCACUGAAAUCUCCCCCCAGAACAAUCUGACCAUCCGCACAGAAGACGCUUGGUUCCUCGUCGUUCGGGGCAUAAACGUCACAAAGUACAAGGUGGACUCGGUUAACAAGCGCCUCUACGCACGUGAUGCGUCCAGCGUUUUCCUCAAGUGGUUGUGACAAUACAAAAUUGAGUUUCUUGUCAGAAAGAAUAACAACCCCACAGCUCUGACUAGAUAUUUCGUUAUGGAAAACCUUCCCAACCCAGUCCCGUUUCAGUUUCAGAGCUUCCUCUUCCUCUUCACCUCGAACUAGUGUUAGUUCUGUCAGCUAUUUUCAGUCUGUCCUGAGGCGAAAGGUCCAUGUUAGUCUUAGUCAUAUUCAGUCGACCUGGUUAUUUUUAUUUUCAGUCGGUUUUUACUAGAACUCUGGACGCAGCCCGGUUCGUCCGGUUUCUGGUCCUGACCGAGAAUCAGCAUUUUACUCAAACUGCAGCAAACUGCUUCCCGUUAAGAUCUCAUCCAACUGAUUCUAACAGUCAAGUCUGGCAGGAUGCGACAACAGUAACAGAUCCGAGGCAGUUUAAUUCAGAACUCAGAAACAGAAAGAACUCUGUUCAGCCGCCCCGCAGUGAAUCCUACCUCGUUAUGUUCAGGGUUUGA